This 75-nucleotide transfer RNA is filed under the name Oligoflexia bacterium. Its description in RNAcentral is "tRNA-Thr". It matches the Rfam family "tRNA". Rfam says of the family: Transfer RNA (tRNA) molecules are approximately 80 nucleotides in length. Their secondary structure includes four short double-helical elements and three loops (D, anti-codon, and T loops). Further hydrogen bonds mediate the characteristic L-shaped molecular structure. tRNAs have two regions of fundamental functional importance: the anti-codon, which is responsible for specific mRNA codon recognition, and the 3' end, to which the tRNAs corresponding amino acid is attached (by aminoacyl-tRNA synthetases). tRNAs cope with the degeneracy of the genetic code in two manners: having more than one tRNA (with a specific anti-codon) for a particular amino acid; and 'wobble' base-pairing, i.e. permitting non-standard base-pairing at the 3rd anti-codon position. Lineage: Bacteria; Pseudomonadati; Bdellovibrionota; Oligoflexia. The record is from RNAcentral.
GCCGCUGUAGCUCAGGGGUAGAGCAACGCAUUCGUAAUGCGUAGGUCCCCGGUUCAAAUCCGGGCAGCGGCUCCA